Molecule: ribosomal RNA, 116 nt
Filed under: Neogale vison (American mink)
Lineage: Eukaryota; Metazoa; Chordata; Mammalia; Carnivora; Mustelidae
Source: RNAcentral
GUCUACGGCCAUACCACCCUGAACGCGCCCGAUCUCGUCUGAUCUCGGAAGCUAAGCAGGGUCGGGCCUGGUUAGUACUUGGAUGGGAGAAAAGUGAAAACUAGGAUUUGAAGCCC